GCCAACCAGGCUUCCGGCGCGCUUCCUCGCCUCACCGGACCUGAAGCCCCACCCGUCGAUCUCUCCGAACUUCCUCCUCUCGCUGCACCUUCCGCGCCAGUCUUCGGGCCGGAGCUCUCAUUCAUUGCGGACACGUCAUUCGGAGCAGAUCUAAGCCAGAGACCAGAUCUCAUUAGAUAAAGCCCAUCAGAACUAAGAAAAUGGAGGAGCCACUAAUUAAAGCUUUUAAUUGUGCGGA
Odocoileus virginianus texanus is the source of this 238-nucleotide long non-coding RNA. RefSeq lists it as uncharacterized. The record is from RefSeq and is a predicted model, not a curated record. NCBI's taxonomy places the organism in Eukaryota, Metazoa, Chordata, Mammalia, Artiodactyla, Cervidae.